CGUACAAAGGAAUUGACGGGGAGCACCACAACGGGUGGAGCUUGCGGUUUAAUUGGAUUCAACGCGAAUCUUACCGGGACGACAGCAAUAUGAAGGCCAGGCUGAAGACUUUGCCGGAUUAGCUGAGAGGUGGUGCAUGGCCGUCGUCAGUUCGUACUGUGAAGCAUCCUGUUAAGUCAGGCAACGAGCGAGACCCACGCCCACAGUUGCCAGCGUACUCUCCGGAGUGACGGGUACACUGUGGGGACCGCCGCUGCUAAAGCGGAGGAAGGAAUGGGCAACGGUAGGUCAGCAUGCCCCGAAUUAUCCGGGCUACACGCGGGCUACAAUGGUCAGGACAAUGGGUAUCGACACCGAGAGGUGGAGGCAAUCUCCUAAACCUGUCCUUAGUUCGGAUUGUGGGCUGCAACUCGCCCACAUGAAGCUGGAAUCCGUAGUAAUCGCGUUUCAAAAUAGCGCGGUGAAUAUGUCCCUGCUCCUU
This 481-nucleotide ribosomal RNA is filed under the name uncultured Methanolinea sp. Its description in RNAcentral is "bacterial SSU rRNA". It matches the Rfam family "Archaeal small subunit ribosomal RNA", at positions 858 to 1338 of the family's 1478-position model. The record is from RNAcentral. Lineage: Archaea; Methanobacteriati; Methanobacteriota; Methanomicrobia; Methanomicrobiales; Methanoregulaceae.